Molecule: transfer RNA, 66 nt
Filed under: Odontophrynus occidentalis
Lineage: Eukaryota; Metazoa; Chordata; Amphibia; Anura; Alsodidae
Description: tRNA-Ser
Source: RNAcentral
GAGUAUGACUGGGAAACGAGAACUGCUAAUUACUCGCCUCUAUGGUUCAAUUCCAUAGCAAACUCG